RNAcentral lists this ribosomal RNA (160 nucleotides) under uncultured bacterium. Its description in RNAcentral is "partial 16S ribosomal RNA". It matches the Rfam family "Bacterial small subunit ribosomal RNA", at positions 355 to 507 of the family's 1533-position model. The record is from RNAcentral.
UGGGGAAUUUUGGACAAUGGGCGCAAGCCUGAUCCAGCCAUUCCGCGUGAGUGAAGAAGGCCUUCGGGUUGUAAAGCUCUUUCGCAAGGGAAGAAAACUUACAUUCUAAUAAAGUGUGAGGCUGACGGUACCUUGAUAAGAAGCACCGGCUAACUACGUG